RNAcentral lists this ribosomal RNA (253 nucleotides) under uncultured bacterium. RNAcentral describes it as "partial 16S ribosomal RNA". It matches the Rfam family "Bacterial small subunit ribosomal RNA", at positions 524 to 776 of the family's 1533-position model. The record is from RNAcentral.
UACAGAGGGUGCGAGCGUUGUCCGGAAUCACUGGGCGUAAAGGGCGCGUAGGUGGCGACCCAAGUCGAUGGUGAAAGCUCGCCGCUCAACGGCGAGUCGGCCACCGAUACUGGGUUGCUCGAGCACUGUAGAGGCUAAUGGAAUUCCGGGUGUAGCGGUGGAAUGCGUAGAGAUCCGGAAGAACACCGGUGGCGAAGGCGGUUAGCUGGGCAGUUGCUGACACUGAGGCGCGACAGCGUGGGGAGCGAACAGG